GCUAAGGUAGCAUAGUCAUUUGUUAUUUAAUUGGUAACUGGAAUGAAAGGUUAAACUAACUUACUAAGUUUGUGUAAUUAUGUAGUAGAUUAAAGUUAAGGUAAGAAUUCUUUAAUUUUCUAGGGGACGAUAAGACCCUAGAAGCUUAACAAGCAUAGUGUCUGGGUUUGUUUUAGAGGUAAGUUUGUUUUACUGGGGCGGUAAAAGUAAUUAAGCUAUUUAUUAUUUAAAGGAUCCUUUAAAUAAAGAGAGAAUGGAGAAGUUACUCUAGGGGUAACAGUGCAAUAUUUUUGGAGAGAUCUUAUUGAUAAAUAUGUUUGCAACCUCGAUG
This 331-nucleotide ribosomal RNA is filed under the name Gammarus stankokaramani. RNAcentral describes it as "partial 16S ribosomal RNA". It matches the Rfam family "Bacterial large subunit ribosomal RNA", at positions 1950 to 2531 of the family's 2925-position model. The record is from RNAcentral. Lineage: Eukaryota; Metazoa; Arthropoda; Malacostraca; Amphipoda; Gammaridae.